Molecule: ribosomal RNA, 605 nt
Filed under: Halomonas elongata
Lineage: Bacteria; Pseudomonadati; Pseudomonadota; Gammaproteobacteria; Oceanospirillales; Halomonadaceae
Description: bacterial SSU rRNA
Rfam family: Bacterial small subunit ribosomal RNA
Source: RNAcentral
CAUUGGGGCGACCCGUACAAAUGCAAGUCGAGCGGAACGAUCCUAGCUUGCUAGGAGGCGUCGAGCGGCGGACGGGUGAGUAAUGCAUAGGAAUCUGCCCGGUAGUGGGGGAUAACUUGAGGAAACUCAAGCUAAUACCGCAUACGCCCUACGGGGGAAAGCAGGGGCUCUUCGGACCUUGCGCUAUCGGAUGAGCUUAUGUCGGAUUAGCUGGUUGGUGAGGUAACGGCUCACCAAGGCGACGAUCCGUAGCUGGUCUGAGAGGAUGAUCAGCCACAUCGGGACUGAGACACGGCCCGAACUCCUACGGGAGGCAGCAGUGGGGAAUAUUGGACAAUGGGGGCAACCCUGAUCCAGCCAUGCCGCGUGUGUGAAGAAGGCCCUCGGGUUGUAAAGCACUUUCAGCGAGGAAGAAUGCUUGUCGGUUAAUACCCGGCAAGGGAGACAUCACUCGCAGAAGAAGCACCGGCUAACUCCGUGCCAGCAGCCGCGGUAAUACGGAGGGUGCGAGCGUUAAUCGGAAUUACUGGGCGUAAAAGCGUGCGUAGGCGGCUUGAUAAGCCGGUUGUGAAAGCCCCCGGGCUCAAACCUGAGAACGGCAUCCG